AGUCAUGGAAUCAGCACAUUGGUGUCUUGAUAAUUUAUUACAUGAUUGGUUUGGUUGCUUAGAAAAUCCAGAGAGUAUUGAAUAUUUUUCUUAAUAUUUGGUGGGCAUUGUUCAACUCACCGUCUUCUUCCCUAGACUGAAGAUUACUUUUUGUUUGGAGAGCGUAGUUGUCUUGAUGAUGACGUAUUUGAAAUUCGCUUUUUUGUUGCUGAUGCAAAGAGAAGAAGGUGCACUUACAGUUUUUAUGUGGCGUAGUGCCAUGUCAAUCUUUAAAAUUCUGUGCGAGGAUUUGACCUUUAACCUGCAAAAAUAACAGUUACAUUUACUAUACAGGAGCUAGAAAUUUAGCUACAAAUAUUUACUUUUGUAUGUUCAUAAUCUUGUUCAUGAUUGAUUGAUGAAGGUGAAAAAGUGAAUGAGGUUCCUGUAAUAAGAGUAGAUGGUUCAACUCCUGCUGGUCAAAAACUUGCUUACAUGUGCAUAAGGCUUUACCCUAUUUGUAUGUACCAUGUACAGAUAUUCCUAUCCAUCCAACGUCUGAAGGGGAUGCAUUUACAAAUGCUGUCUCUCUAGCCACGGAGAAAGCCUUGAAGCUCAAAGGCAAUGCUGGCGUAAAACGGCAACA
This is a long non-coding RNA of Eucalyptus grandis, 625 nucleotides long. RefSeq lists it as uncharacterized. The record is from RefSeq and is a predicted model, not a curated record. Lineage: Eukaryota; Viridiplantae; Streptophyta; Magnoliopsida; Myrtales; Myrtaceae. The transcript is spliced from 4 exons.